This is a non-coding RNA of Schistosoma curassoni, 45 nucleotides long. NCBI's taxonomy places the organism in Eukaryota, Metazoa, Platyhelminthes, Trematoda, Strigeidida, Schistosomatidae. The record is from Rfam.
AUCCAAUUGACGAGUCUCAAUAAGGACGAAACGGGCGUCCUGGAU